UUCAAAGACACACACUUGAUUUUACUUAGCAAUUUCAAUCAAGUAGACACACACUUGAUCUUACUUAGAAGCUUCAAUCAAGUAGACACACACUCAUGCUUAAAAGCUUUGAGUGACAAAUAACAACUCAAAAAUCAGAUCAAUUCAAUCAUCUAUGGAUGAAUUGAAUGGCUUACAAGUCACACGACCACACAAGACAC
RNAcentral lists this long non-coding RNA (200 nucleotides) under Lathyrus oleraceus (garden pea). Its description in RNAcentral is "Pisum sativum (pea) long non-coding RNA (PSAT_LNC019452)". The record is from RNAcentral. Lineage: Eukaryota; Viridiplantae; Streptophyta; Magnoliopsida; Fabales; Fabaceae.